RNAcentral lists this long non-coding RNA (217 nucleotides) under Mustela putorius furo (domestic ferret). RNAcentral describes it as "lncRNA (ENSMPUG00000025229.1)". Lineage: Eukaryota; Metazoa; Chordata; Mammalia; Carnivora; Mustelidae. The record is from RNAcentral.
GGGGCUCUGCCCACUUUGAUGUCCAGAGGUUUCCGUCCUCCCUGGUCAGCUGGCUUCUCUUUCACACGCUCACACCAGAAUUUUCCAUGGCAAGCUAUGCACAGUCUGUAGUAAUAAUGCUAUAAUAGCCUGCAUUUCGUGAACACCCACUAUGUACCACAUUCCAUGCGUGAUGACAUCAUCUCACCGAAUUCUCAUGGACACAGGUAAAAUUAUU